UUGCUUCAGCAGCACCUAUACUAAAAUUGGAAUGAUACAGAGAAGAUUAGCAUGGCCCCUGCUCAAAGAUGACAUGCAAAUUCGUGAAGCGUUCCAUAUUUUU
Molecule: small nuclear RNA, 103 nt
Filed under: Capra hircus (goat)
Lineage: Eukaryota; Metazoa; Chordata; Mammalia; Artiodactyla; Bovidae
Source: RNAcentral